UGGCCCAACUGAUUGAUGGUGCUUGCACCUGAUUGACGAUGGAUCACCAGUGAGUGGCGGACGGGUGAGUAACACGUAGGUAACCUGCCCCGGAGCGGGGGAUAACAUUUGGAAACAGAUGCUAAUACCGCAUAACAACAAAAGCCACAUGGCUUUUGUUUGAAAGAUGGCUUUGGCUAUCACUCUGGGAUGGACCUGCGGUGCAUUAGCUAGUUGGUAAGGUAACGGCUUACCAAGGCGAUGAUGCAUAGCCGAGUUGAGAGACUGAUCGGCCACAAUGGAACUGAGACACGGUCCAUACUCCUACGGGAGGCAGCAGUAGGGAAUCUUCCACAAUGGGCGCAAGCCUGAUGGAGCAACACCGCGUGAGUGAAGAAGGGUUUCGGCUCGUAAAGCUCUGUUGUUGGAGAAGAACGUGCGUGAGAGUAACUGUUCACGCAGUGACGGUAUCCAACCAGAAAGUCACGGCUAACUACGUGCCAGCAGCCGCGGUAAUACGUAGGUGGCAAGCGUUAUCCGGAUUUAUUGGGCGUAAAGCGAGCGCAGGCGGUUGCUUAGGUCUGAUGUGAAAGCCUUCGGCUUAACCGAAGAAGUGCAUCGGAAACCGGGCAACUUGAGUGCAGAAGAGGACAGUGGAACUCCAUGUGUAGCGGUGGAAUGCGUAGAUAUAUGGAAGAACACCAGUGGCGAAGGCGGCUGUCUGGUCUGCAACUGACGCUGAGGCUCGAAAGCAUGGGUAGCGAACAGGAUUAGAUACCCUGGUAGUCCAUGCCGUAAACGAUGAGUGCUAGGUGUUGGAGGGUUUCCGCCCUUCAGUGCCGGAGCUAACGCAUUAAGCACUCCGCCUGGGGAGUACGACCGCAAGGUUGAAACUCAAAGGAAUUGACGGGGGCCCGCACAAGCGGUGGAGCAUGUGGUUUAAUUCGAAGCUACGCGAAGAACCUUACCAGGUCUUGACAUCUUGCGCUAACCUUAGAGAUAAGGCGUUCCCUUCGGGGACGCAAUGACAGGUGGUGCAUGGUCGUCGUCAGCUCGUGUCGUGAGAUGUUGGGUUAAGUCCCGCAACGAGCGCAACCCUUGUUACUAGUUGCCAGCAUUAAGUUGGGCACUCUAGUGAGACUGCCGGUGACAAACCGGAGGAAGGUGGGGACGACGUCAGAUCAUCAUGCCCCUUAUGACCUGGGCUACACACGUGCUACAAUGGACGGUACAACGAGUCGCAAGCUCGCGAGAGUAAGCUAAUCUCUUAAAGCCGUUCUCAGUUCGGACUGUAGGCUGCAACUCGCCUACACGAAGUCGGAAUCGCUAGUAAUCGCGGAUCAGCAUGCCGCGGUGAAUACGUUCCCGGGCCUUGUACACACCGCCCGUCACACCAUGGGAGUUUGUAAC
Molecule: ribosomal RNA, 1389 nt
Filed under: Limosilactobacillus reuteri
Lineage: Bacteria; Bacillati; Bacillota; Bacilli; Lactobacillales; Lactobacillaceae
Description: bacterial SSU rRNA
Rfam family: Bacterial small subunit ribosomal RNA
Source: RNAcentral